This 75-nucleotide transfer RNA is filed under the name Stygiolobus azoricus. Its description in RNAcentral is "tRNA-Val". It matches the Rfam family "tRNA". Rfam says of the family: Transfer RNA (tRNA) molecules are approximately 80 nucleotides in length. Their secondary structure includes four short double-helical elements and three loops (D, anti-codon, and T loops). Further hydrogen bonds mediate the characteristic L-shaped molecular structure. tRNAs have two regions of fundamental functional importance: the anti-codon, which is responsible for specific mRNA codon recognition, and the 3' end, to which the tRNAs corresponding amino acid is attached (by aminoacyl-tRNA synthetases). tRNAs cope with the degeneracy of the genetic code in two manners: having more than one tRNA (with a specific anti-codon) for a particular amino acid; and 'wobble' base-pairing, i.e. permitting non-standard base-pairing at the 3rd anti-codon position. The record is from RNAcentral. Lineage: Archaea; Thermoproteati; Thermoproteota; Thermoprotei; Sulfolobales; Sulfolobaceae.
GGGCCCGUCGUCUAGCCUGGUUAGGACGCCGCCCUGACGCGGCGGAAAUCCUGGGUUCAAGUCCCAGCGGGCCCA